Paramuricea clavata is the source of this 586-nucleotide non-coding RNA. The record is from the annotation of a GenBank genome assembly. NCBI's taxonomy places the organism in Eukaryota, Metazoa, Cnidaria, Anthozoa, Malacalcyonacea, Plexauridae.
UGGCAAUGUAUGUUCCUGUACGUCCUGCUCCAUCACUGAAAUACAAAUUGAAAAGAUGGAACCAUAUAUUUCAUGCAAUUUUUAAAAUAAAGCACAUACAAUUCACAAUUGUCAUGUGGUGAGGCAAAAAACACCUUGAAUUUCAUUUUCUCGAAUAUUAUUUAUUUAUUCAUUUUGUCACACACAUAAAAGAUAUACAUUUGCAUAGAAAUAUAACAAAAACAAUAUGAACUAGAGGGCACUCAGAGACUGCAUACCUCCGCCCGUUACUCGGAAGUGAAACGCAACCUUGGAAUUUCCUAAGAAAUCCACUUUAUAAUUCUUAAGCAUAAAAGAUUUCAGGCCCCCGCGAGUUGAAAUCGAAUUGCUAAUAGAACAUAUUAAUGUUGUUGUACUGUACAGUACUUGUAAAAAAAAAACUUAUUAUGUGUCAUUAAAUAAAUGCAUAAAUUUUGCUUUAUGCACUCGCGCGUGCAGUAAUUUUCACAGUUGUGCUACUUUAAAUUCCCAGGCAGCUAAAAUCUUUUCUCUUUAAAACAAUGUCGAUUUCUUGGGAAAUUCCGAGGUUGCGUUCUUUUUAUACACC